GUGGGGAAUAUUGCGCAAUGGGCGAAAGCCUGACGCAGCGACGCCGCGUGAGGGAUGAAGGUUUUCGGAUCGUAAACCUCUGUCAGAAGGGAAGAAACUACGUUGUGCUAAUCAGCAGCGUACUGACGGUACCUUCAAAGGAAGCACCGGCUAACUCCGUGCCAGCAGCCGCGGUAAUACGGAGGGUGCAAGCGUUAAUCGGAAUUACUGGGCGUAAAGCGCACGUAGGCUGUAGUGUAAGUCAGGGGUGAAAUCCCACGGCUCAACCGUGGAACUGCCUUUGAUACUGCACAACUUGAAUCCGGGAGAGGGUGGCGGAAUUCCAGGUGUAGGAGUGAAAUCCGUAGAUAUCUGGAGGAACAUCAGUGGCGAAGGCGGCCACCUGGACAGGUACUGACGCUGAGGCGCGAAAGCGUGGGGAGCAAACAGGAUUAGAUACCCCAGUAGUCC
Molecule: ribosomal RNA, 450 nt
Filed under: uncultured bacterium
Lineage: Bacteria
Description: partial 16S ribosomal RNA
Rfam family: Bacterial small subunit ribosomal RNA
Source: RNAcentral